CAGACCUUGAUUGUUUGAUUAUCUUUGACUAGUGAGAUCGCGCCCAAUGAGAGCGCGCCACGUGGCAGCGCCUUUUUCCUCCCAAAUUAGGCUUUGUAAUUGGCAGAUUAGGGGAAACUCCCUGCGCCCCUGUUGCGAAUUAGGCGUAGCAAGAUGCUGCUUCACAAAGAAAGAAGAAGAUGCACGAGAGAGUGAUGCCUCUAGGUUGCGGCAGUCGCGAUUUGGGUCUGCUCUUGCUUCUUCUUGCAGGUCUGAUUGUGGUUUGUUGAGUUGUGCAGGUGGUG
RNAcentral lists this long non-coding RNA (284 nucleotides) under Vigna radiata. Its description in RNAcentral is "long non-coding RNA (VRAD_LNC016030)". Lineage: Eukaryota; Viridiplantae; Streptophyta; Magnoliopsida; Fabales; Fabaceae. The record is from RNAcentral.